This 464-nucleotide ribosomal RNA is filed under the name Vreelandella stevensii. RNAcentral describes it as "partial 16S ribosomal RNA". It matches the Rfam family "Bacterial small subunit ribosomal RNA", at positions 338 to 795 of the family's 1533-position model. Lineage: Bacteria; Pseudomonadati; Pseudomonadota; Gammaproteobacteria; Oceanospirillales; Halomonadaceae. The record is from RNAcentral.
CCUACGGGGGCAGCAGUGGGGAAUAUUGGACAAUGGGCGAAAGCCUGAUCCAGCCAUGCCGCGUGUGUGAAGAAGGCCUUCGGGUUGUAAAGCACUUUCAGUGGGGAAGAAAGCCUUGGGGCUAAUACCCUCGAGGAAGGACAUCACCCACAGAAGAAGCACCGGCUAACUCCGUGCCAGCAGCCGCGGUAAUACGGAGGGUGCGAGCGUUAAUCGGAAUUACUGGGCGUAAAGCGCGCGUAGGCGGUCUGAUAAGCCGGUUGUGAAAGCCCCGGGCUCAACCUGGGAACGGCAUCCGGAACUGUCAGGCUAGAGUGCAGGAGAGGAAGGUAGAAUUCCCGGUGUAGCGGUGAAAUGCGUAGAGAUCGGGAGGAAUACCAGUGGCGAAGACGGCCUUCUGGACUGACACUGACGCUGAGGUGCGAAAGCGUGGGUAGCAAACAGGAUUAGAUACCCGAGUAGUC